AGCUGCCAACCUGCAUCCUGAAGCCCUCUCUGCCGCAUCAGUGGAUGGAUCUUCUGUUCUUCUUUCCUUUGAUGCCAAAGUGUUUGAGGACUUCAUAGCAGAGUGCAGGUUCCCUGCAUUUCUCUCCAUCCAGCCAGAAAUCCAUUACCAGCAUUGGCAAAGUCCUGCAUUGAACAUACAGCAACAGGACUCUGAGUCUGCGCCCAGCGCGUUCAACAAGGAACAGCCUGACUCUUUUUAAACCCUCAAAUCCAUAUCCAAUGUGCAUCCUCUUCUUCACUUUCAAAUAGUUGCUGAC
Molecule: long non-coding RNA, 298 nt
Organism: Cololabis saira (Pacific saury)
Lineage: Eukaryota; Metazoa; Chordata; Actinopteri; Beloniformes; Belonidae
Exons: 2
Source: RefSeq, a predicted model, not a curated record